CGCGCCUAACGGCGUGCCUCGGC
RNAcentral lists this non-coding RNA (23 nucleotides) under Arabidopsis thaliana (thale cress). The record is from RNAcentral. Lineage: Eukaryota; Viridiplantae; Streptophyta; Magnoliopsida; Brassicales; Brassicaceae.